This 455-nucleotide ribosomal RNA is filed under the name uncultured bacterium. Its description in RNAcentral is "bacterial SSU rRNA". It matches the Rfam family "Bacterial small subunit ribosomal RNA", at positions 923 to 1379 of the family's 1533-position model. The record is from RNAcentral.
GCACAAGCGGUGGAGCAUGUGGUUUAAUUCGACGCAACGCGAAGAACCUUACCCAGGCUCGAACGGCAUCUGACAUCCUACGAAAGUAGGCUCCCGCAAGGGCAGGUGUCGAGGUGCUGCAUGGCUGUCGUCAGCUCGUGUCGUGAGAUGUUGGGUUAAGUCCCGCAACGAGCGCAACCCUUGUCUUCUGUUGCCAUCAGGUCAAGCUGGGCACUCUGAAGAGACUGCCGGUGACAAACCGGAGGAAGGUGGGGAUGACGUCAAGUCAGCAUGGCCUUUAUGUCUGGGACCACACACGUGCUACAAUGGCAGGUACAAACCGUCGCGAGACCGCAAGGUGGAGCUAAUCGGAGAAAGCCUGUCUCAGUUCGGAUUGUAGGCUGCAACUCGCCUGCAUGAAGUUGGAAUCGCUAGUAAUCGCGGAUCAGCACGCCGCGGUGAAUACGUUCCCGGGC